AUACGGAGGGUGCAAGCGUUGUUCGGAAUCACUGGGCGUAAAGGGCGCGCAGGCGGUUUGGUAAGUCAGAUGUGAAAGCCCAGGGCUCAACCAUGGAAGUGCAUUUGAAACUGUCAGACUUGAGUACUAGAGGGGAAAGUGGAAUUCCCGGUGUAGAGGUGAAAUUCGUAGAUAUCGGGAGGAAUACCGGUGGCGAAGGCGACUUUCUGGCUAGAUACUGACGCUGAGGCGCGAAAGCGUGGGGAGCAAACAGGAUUAGAAACCCCGGUAGUCC
RNAcentral lists this ribosomal RNA (274 nucleotides) under uncultured bacterium. Its description in RNAcentral is "partial 16S ribosomal RNA". It matches the Rfam family "Bacterial small subunit ribosomal RNA", at positions 523 to 796 of the family's 1533-position model. The record is from RNAcentral.